AUGCACCAAAAAUUUGAGACCACCACUGCUCAACUUCAAUCAGAGCUUUCUGAUUUGAAGACUCACCUAGACCUGCAAGAGGCUGAGACCCAGAAGGCGAACUCAAAGUUCGAAUUUAGUGUGGCUGAGGCAGAAAAAUUGAAAGCCGGCGUUGAGGUUGAUAAAACCGCCUGGGCUCAAGAGAAAAUUGCCUUGACACAAUGGGCUGAGAAGGCGGAGGCGGCUCUCCAGGAAGCGACCACUGAACUCACUGGCUUAAAAUGCCAGGUGUCUCAGAUGGUUUCUGCUAUCUUUGGCCCUAGGAGUAGCAACCUCAACCAAGACAUGCUUGUGAAGCUAAAGGUGGUUUGCACAUUGGUGGAGCAGCUUUACACUGGUUCUCAGCGCGCAUUGGCCACAAUUUCUCCGUCCAAUGAAGCCCCCACACUCUUGGUUGAUGUGUUAAGGAAACUUUCCGUCUUGCCCGAGAGGUUUAAUGAAAUGAAGCAAUCAUCAGCGAGAGCCGGGGCUGUGAUUGCCUUAAGCCGGGCCAAAGCAUGGUUACCGGAGUUAGACUCAGCUGAUAUCUCUAUUGGGUAUCCAAGCUUCAAGGAAGACGUCACUCCGUUUGACCAUAAGGACUUUGCUGCUUGCGUGAAGGAUAUAUGUCCUUUGGCCAGUCUGAUCGCCAAUGAGACAGACCUCACCAAAUACCAACCGGCUUACGAUGUGGGAAAUCAGAAGAUGCCAAGACCGUCUUACAAAGUGAAAGACCUGAUCCCCCCAAUCUGUAAGCACACUUUUGCUCCUGAAGUUGACCCGUCCAAGCUAAUUGAUGAUGAAGCUGAGUUCCAAGCUUUGAGUGGCAUUGACUGGUCGUCACCAACCUUCCAGGAUGUAGAAUAG
This 885-nucleotide ribosomal RNA is filed under the name Triticum aestivum (bread wheat). RNAcentral's name for it is "partial small subunit ribosomal RNA". Lineage: Eukaryota; Viridiplantae; Streptophyta; Magnoliopsida; Poales; Poaceae. The record is from RNAcentral.